CGGACGGGUGAGUAACACGUGGAUAACCUACCUAUAAGACUGGGAUAACUUCGGGAAACCGGAGCUAAUACCGGAUAAUAUAUUGAACCGCAUGGUUCAAUAGUGAAAGACGGUUUUGCUGUCACUUAUAGAUGGAUCCGCGCCGCAUUAGCUAGUUGGUAAGGUAACGGCUUACCAAGGCAACGAUGCGUAGCCGACCUGAGAGGGUGAUCGGCCACACUGGAACUUAGACACGGUCCAGACUCCUACGGGAGGCAGCAGCG
Molecule: ribosomal RNA, 263 nt
Filed under: uncultured Staphylococcus sp.
Lineage: Bacteria; Bacillati; Bacillota; Bacilli; Caryophanales; Staphylococcaceae
Description: partial 16S ribosomal RNA
Rfam family: Bacterial small subunit ribosomal RNA
Source: RNAcentral